GAAAUUUUGAGAAGCUUGUCCUGAUAGAGAUGGGAAAGUCUCGUCUUCAAUCUAUCUUGAUCAGCUUCAUUCUUCUCCCCUGCCAGCGCCUUAUGCAGAAUAUGGUCAGCAGUUGCAUAAAGUAACAGCCGCUGCACACUAUCAUCUUCAGGAAGCUCUAAUCCUUCUUCAGAGGCAAGUUGAUUCCAGGCAUCCAACAUCAGAGCUCGAGAAUCUGCCACCACAUUAUCCCAAGAGAAAAUCAGGCCAUAAGCUUCAUCAGGCUUCAUCGCAUAACGGAUUCUUCGCAGGAAACCCUCUUGCAGUCUAUCAUUUAAAAAAUCCACAUCAACUUUGAGCAGUCCAUUGGGUCUAAAUGUCUCGAAACCUUCUCCGUAUUCAGCACCAAUUGCCUCUUCCAUAAAAAUCUUGUUAGGUGUAGCUGUAAAAUGUUCAAAGUCACCAUUAUCGCCGGUCCCCAAGACCUUUGCAAUCACCAAGCGUGGAUGAGAGUUGGAAGGCUUCGAUUUCGUGAAUUGGAA
This 521-nucleotide unclassified non-coding RNA is filed under the name Hevea brasiliensis (rubber tree). The record is from RNAcentral. Lineage: Eukaryota; Viridiplantae; Streptophyta; Magnoliopsida; Malpighiales; Euphorbiaceae.